AUAUAUUUUGUAAAAAAUCACAGUCCUGACAAUACUCCAUGGCAUUGUUGUGUGGGUGUCCUCCAAAUAAUUGCCACGACAGAAGAGACCGUGUCUUAGCUGUGUUCUCUUGAUGGCUGGGCUUGACUUCAGGAUCAACCUUCCUAUGUGUGGAGAAGGUUACAUCUCAUGAAUACCUCUGAAGUAGGACUCAGCUCCCAUUAGAGCUCUCCUCUGCAGCAAGGGUGCAGGCACAUGACCUCGGUCCCCUUGACCCGGAGGACUGAACUGAAGGCUUCUCUUUGGAACUGAGCAGUUGGGGAUGCCAAGCAUCACAUGGUUCUUCCUGGCGUGGCUGGUGGCAACAGCAAUUUCCUCUAGAAUUUCUUGGGGUAGCAACAAUGGCAAUAUUUUUUCUUUUCGUGUCUGCUCUGUGGUGUGUCUGACUUAGAUUGCUGACGGUUUUCUGAUCGGGCUGCGUCCAUUUAGAGCGUGGAUACAGUUUAUUACAAGCAGGCGAAGAACCAGUGGUCCACAAGAAGAACGGGAGUGUUUUUGCACGGACACAAGUUAUUGUGUUGCAGACCCAACAAUCCCAGUUUUCCACUAACAUCUUCGUUCUGGCCCAGAACCGCCCCGCCGUCUCACCUUGUCUCCUGGGCUCCUCCAGGCUGUGCCCUUUCCUCACACUUCCUGGUCUCCCGUGACCUUGACGCUGGGAGAUUACCGGGGUGUCCCACAGUGACUGUCCGUGAACGGGCUGGCUGGGAUGUUCGAGUUCUCCUUCAGGAACCCAGACCACGCCCAUCCUAAGUGCCCCGCAAACGGCCCGGAUUCGUUCCUCGUGAGUCUGCGUGAGAACCUGCGGUUUACAGGUCCGUGACGUCACCCAGAGGGGCCGGGGGCUCCCGUGUGGUGAGUGGGAACAGAGCAGGACUGCUCCAGGGUGAUGUUAACAGAGGGCCGGAGCGGACGGUCUUCAGAGGCUAGAAACAGUCUGUCCGGUCCCUGCUGCGGUGGGGACACGCGGACACCUAGAGCAAGGGAGCAGGCGGGGGCCGGUGCAGGGCGCUGGCCGUGAGGACGGAUCUCGGGGCAUUCUGGCAGAACAGACCUGACCGGAUCGCUGCUGCAGGCCUCCCGGGUGAUCCCCACGCCCCGUGGGUGACAGGAGGGAAUUGGCCGGGUACCCGGUGACUAGACACUGGGCAGAAGUGACUUAGCAGGGGUCUGGCCAAAACAGAGCCUCUGAGCUGAACUCAGAAGCCCAGAGGUCAAGGCCUAGUUGGAAGAAAGGCUCAGAGAGGCGGGAGGGAGUCCUUGGUGCCACGAGGAAGGGUCAGAGUCAGCCCUCCCCCUGGAAGGGAAGGAGCCUCCCGGGAGUGUGCAGAGCGCAGGCUGGGCUGUGCCUCCGGGUGGAACAGGCCCGUCCGGAUCCUUCCUGCUGCAGAGCUGGGGCGUCCGGUGGGAGAGGCCAGGGCAAGGGAGGGGGCCUGGGAGAGGGACCCCGGGAGCUGGUGGGGCCGCGGGAAGGCAGAGAUGAAUCUGAGGGACGCCAGGGGUGGGGGCACCUGUGGGCUUCCGAGCUGCGCCUUCCAGAGUUGGAGGCUGGGAAGCCCUACUGGGUCGCUUCCUGCGAAACGCUCAUCCCAGAGCCUGGGACAUGAGCUGCUUCAGAAGUAGGGUCUGUGCAGAUGCAGUUAGUUAAGAUGGAGUCAUAUCGGAAUGGGUGAGCCUAAUCCAACGACCGGUGUCCUUAUGAGGAGAGACACAGAAUCAGAAGACAGCCACGUGACCACAGAGGCCGAAGCUGGAGGGAUGUGGCCACAAGCCCAGGGGCAUCUGGAGUCCCAGAACCCAAAGGAGGCGGGAAGGACCCUGUUCUGGGGCCUUGGCCCUGAGUCAUUGAUCCGACUUCUGGCCUCCAGAACGGGGGAGAGUAAAGCCUCUGUCUUAAGCCCCCA
Long non-coding RNA from Suricata suricatta (meerkat), 1943 nucleotides. RefSeq lists it as uncharacterized. The record is from RefSeq and is a predicted model, not a curated record. The transcript has 4 exons. Lineage: Eukaryota; Metazoa; Chordata; Mammalia; Carnivora; Herpestidae.